RNAcentral lists this ribosomal RNA (801 nucleotides) under Lachnum virgineum. Its description in RNAcentral is "partial large subunit ribosomal RNA". It matches the Rfam family "Eukaryotic large subunit ribosomal RNA", at positions 162 to 980 of the family's 3401-position model. The record is from RNAcentral. Lineage: Eukaryota; Fungi; Ascomycota; Leotiomycetes; Helotiales; Lachnaceae.
CUUUGGGUGUGCCCUGGUCUAAGUUCCUGGAACAGGACGUCAUAGAGGGUGAGAAUCCCGUAUGUGACUAGGUGCCUUCGCCCGUGUAAAGCUCUUUCGACGAGUCGAGUUGUUUGGGAAUGCAGCUCAAAAUGGGUGGUAAAUUUCAUCUAAAGCUAAAUACUGGCCAGAGACCGAUAGCGCACAAGUAGAGUGAUCGAAAGAUGAAAAGCACUUUGGAAAGAGAGUUAAACAGCACGUGAAAUUGUUGAUAGGGAAGCGCUUGCAACCAGACUUGGGGGCGGCCGAUCAUCUAGGGUUCUCCCUAGUGCACUCGAGUCCGCUUCCAGGCCAGCAUCGGUUUGGGUGGUGGGAGAAAGGCCGGGGGAAUGUAGCUUCCUUCGGGGAGUGUUAUAGCCCUCGGUGCCAUGCCGCCUACCUGGACCGAGGACCGCGCUUCGGCUAGGAUGCUGGCGUAAUGGUUGUAAGCGACCCGUCUUGAAACACGGACCAAGGAGUCUAACAUCUAUGCGAGUAUUUGGGUGUCAAACCCAUCUGCGUAAUGAAAGUGAACGGAGGUGAGAACCCUGAAGGGUGCAUCAUCGACCGAUCCUGACGUCUUCGGAUGGAUUUGAGUAAGAGCAUAGCUGUUGGGACCCGAAAGAUGGUGAACUAUGCCUAAAUAGGGUGAAGCCAGAGGAAACUCUGGUGGAGGCUCGCAGCGGUUCUGACGUGCAAAUCGAUCGUCAAAUUUGGGUAUAGGGGCGAAAGACUAAUCGAACCAUCUAGUAGCUGGUUCCUGCCGAAGUUUCCCUCAGGAUA